This 23-nucleotide microRNA is filed under the name Gallus gallus (chicken). Its description in RNAcentral is "gga-miR-460b-3p". Its record names the gene gga-miR-460b-3p. The record is from miRBase by way of RNAcentral. Lineage: Eukaryota; Metazoa; Chordata; Aves; Galliformes; Phasianidae.
CACAGCGCAUGCAAUGUGGACAU